CUUUCUCCUCUGCAAGAAGGGAAGUGACCGCAGGUCAGCGCCAAGGUCAAGCAGGCAGACCCGCAGUGAGACCCGUUGAGCUGCUUGCUUCUGGCGCUGGCGCCUCUGAGCUGGGCAGAGAAGCUUACAGACUCCCACGUCCAGGGUGCAUCUUGGCUCACAUCUUGUCCCCUCAGCCACAGCUGGGGGUGCUGCUGGUCCUCCCAUUCCCCUCUGGGUCACAUAUCCCCUCAUCGUGUCC
RNAcentral lists this long non-coding RNA (241 nucleotides) under Homo sapiens (human). RNAcentral's name for it is "LHRI_LNC91.1". The record is from RNAcentral. Lineage: Eukaryota; Metazoa; Chordata; Mammalia; Primates; Hominidae.